CCUACGGGAGGCAGCAGUAGGGAAUAUUCGUCAAUGGGCGCAAGCCUGAACGAGCGAUGCCGCGUGAGUGAAGAAGGCCUUCGGGUCGUAAAGCUCUGUUGCUGGGGAAGAAAGGCAGCAUCAGGAAUUGGGUGCUGACUGAUGGUGCCCCGCCAGAAAGUCACGGCUAACUACGUGCCAGCAGCCGCGGUAAUACGUAGGUGGCGAGCGUUAUCCGGAAUGGUUGGGCGUAAAGGGUGCGCAGGCGGUACUGCAAGUCUGGAGUGAAACGCAUGAGCUCAACUCAUGAAUGGCCUUGGAAACUGGAGGACUGGAGAGCAGGAGAGGGAGGUGGAACGCGAUGUGUAGCGGUAAAAUGCGUAGAUAUAUGGAAGAACACCAGUGGCGAAGGCGGCCGCCUGGCCUGUUGCUGACGCUGAGGCACGAAAGCGUGGGGAGCAAAUAGGAUUAGAUACCCUUGUAGUC
Molecule: ribosomal RNA, 465 nt
Filed under: uncultured bacterium
Lineage: Bacteria
Description: partial 16S ribosomal RNA
Rfam family: Bacterial small subunit ribosomal RNA
Source: RNAcentral